UAGAAUUUUUGGUGAUGGUUAACAAGGUGUUGCAAUAGGUAGUCUAUUGCAACGGUUUCAUGCGUUACCAAAAAUAAAUAUUCUAUUAGCUAUAAUUUAGCACUAUAACUGUCACUUUUGACGAUUAAGCAUAGCAACAGAUAAAUGUAUAGCAAUGGUUGUUGAAACUGUUGAUACAAAAUCAGCUAUAGCAACACUUAUUGGGUACAAAAAUAUCUAUUGCAUCGCUUUAUUUUAUUCCCUUCAUUUUAAUAAUACUUUUUUGUUCUCUUAAACCUAUUCUCUUAAAACUUUCAUUCCUCUAAAAUAUUUUAUUCGCUAUAAUAUCAAUUUUGUGGAGAGGGCAGUGGAGACACCACAAUAUCUGGUAGUGAGCUUUGUCGGAUUUACUGGUGCCUCUUCAUAAAUCAAUUUACUAGUCCCAUCGGUAUUCUCUGUGGGAAACGAAGAAAAUGUGAAACAACAUAUCUGUGAUUAGGUGAGCUUCGGACCGACUGUAGUGAGCUACGGUAUAGUGAGCUUUAGACCGACUGUAGAAUUAUAUUUUGGAUGUGAAGAGUAGUGCUAAUAAUGGGACAGUGAACCGGUUCAAGGCUGUUGAUGUAUCUCCAUCUCAUUCUACAAAAGAAGUGUAGGCCUCUAUUUUCACUUCUUCAAGAAAGUGUGACUUCAAGGAGAGUUAUUCUUGCAGAUCUUUGGCCCUCAGCAAAAACUAAUAGCUUUUUUUGCUGAGGUGAUCUGCUAGUGUCUUGGACUGGUUUUAUUGUCUUAGAGUGUUUUUUUCAUGUAAUAUAGUUAUAUUCUAGACCAAUGAGUCAUAGAUUUUGCCUCUUUCCAUUUGAUUCAGUUGGUGCUUUAUUUUUAUAACAUAACAUUGUCAUUGUAAAUUUGAUGUUGCCUUUCAGUGUCUGCUUCAAACACUUUAGUGGCUUUUGUUUUCUCGCUUA
This is a long non-coding RNA of Capsicum annuum, 947 nucleotides long. RefSeq lists it as uncharacterized. NCBI's taxonomy places the organism in Eukaryota, Viridiplantae, Streptophyta, Magnoliopsida, Solanales, Solanaceae. The transcript is spliced from 2 exons. The record is from RefSeq and is a predicted model, not a curated record.